This is a long non-coding RNA of Triticum dicoccoides, 1949 nucleotides long. RefSeq lists it as uncharacterized. The record is from RefSeq and is a predicted model, not a curated record. The transcript is spliced from 8 exons. Lineage: Eukaryota; Viridiplantae; Streptophyta; Magnoliopsida; Poales; Poaceae.
UCCCUCAUCACCAGCCGCAGCACUAGAAGAUUUGCCACCGACGAGAUCCAGCGCCUGGCAAGGUCCUCGGGUCGGCUAUCGCUCCCACCACUCCGUCGGCCAGAUCUGCACCCUUGACUCCCUCUUCUCUCGCGUCGCGCGGUGCCUCUGCUCCACCAUGCGGCGGUUACCUCAUGGAUGACAGGGCCAUGGAUCUGUCCUUGAAGGAGAGAAGGAAUAUGACGGAGAGAGAACAGAGAAGGAAGGAGAGGCGGGAGAAGGAGAGAGGAAAGAGGAGAGGGAGGUGCAGCGGCAGAUGGGAGAUGGUCAUCGGCCGACAUUAGUCAUUCAGCCAUUCGCAUCUCUCCUCUUCUCCUGCUCUCGACCACCAAUGCACCCCCUCCUCUUUCCCUUCUCUUCUCACCAUCUCCUCUUCUAUGGAGCUAGCUGAGUGAUCCACGGUGAGGAAGAUGGGGAAGACAGAGCCAACACCGCCGAUGCCCACGGGCCACUUCAGUCAGGUGCCUUCCAUACUUCCUCCUUCAGGAUUUUCAAUCCAAGAGCAUAAAAUGAAGCCGGAAACAGGGAUGAUGGGAGAAACAAUGGUGGCUGAACAGUGGACAACCGAAGCUGGCUGAGAAAGAGGGAGGCAGUGCGUGGCAGAAGAGGGAGUCCAUGUGGUAUCCGUUUCUGGUCAUCUUCAGCUUGCAGGUGGGCGGAUUACUAAAAUUGUAGCCAGUCCAUACUACAUGCUCCCAGAGAUUCUGAACAGGGAGUAGCACAAGCAAUUAUGUGCUCUGUGGUAGAUUUCAAAAGAGACCCAAGGCCCGGAGUAUCUGAGCCUGCUAAAGACUUUGUUCGACAGACGCUAGAUCCAGAUCCAAUCACACGGUUUACUACAACACACGUACUCAGUGGUGUCUGUCGGUAGGGUCUCCCUAAACAUGCGUCAUCAAAUCCAAUUGCAAGCUACACGACAAGCUAUGAUUGAAUACCAUGUACAAGUAUGGGGACAGAAUAGUAAACAACAAAUAAAGGAUACUAGACGGAGAUAUUGGACGGACGCAUGGAGCAUGAACUCAUUUUUUUCAGGGGCCACCUUACUUGUGUGCCCUCAGGCUGAGGAGACCUUUCUAAGUGUACAUGGAGGAUGUGAAAGCGACGACAGAGGAGCUUGCUGUAGCUGCUCGCUUGCUCCGGGAAUCGCCCCUCCUGACAGAAGCAAGCACGAUGCCAUGUCCUAGAGUCUACUUAUUUUAGGUAGCAUUGCUUUCUGGAAUACAUCAUUGGAACCUAGUAACAUUCACUGCUUACAGUCAGCAAGACAAGAAGAACGUGAUUGUGUAUGAGUUCAUGCACAACAAAAGCAUCACCUUAGCUGAUGUUAAAUUUGCUCCGUGGAAUCAACAACACGCUAUUGUAUAUGCACGUGUUAUUAAUGUGGUGAGUGAUUGAAGAGGAGGCAUGAGGAGAAGAGCAGUCCAAAGGGCGGGUGGAGCAUGUGACUUGUGGAUGUUAGUUUUCAUUUCCGGAAGAAUAAAUUUUCUAUGAUUUGAGUGUAUGCUGAUGUGUGAAAGUCAAUCAUUUGGAUUCCCAACUAGACUAUUCUAUGUGUUCAAUAUUUUAUUGUGCAUUGAUAAAAUGUUUCACUGCCAGUGUGCACAAGUUGAAUUUUGAAACAGAUGAGAGGACAACUCUGCAUAAAGCUUUGUUCGGUUACACCUCUUCCCACAGGGAUUGUAGGGGAUUUGGGGGGAAUUUGACUUGUAGGAGAUCUAAUCCCCCCUCGAUCCCUGCCAAACCUCUUCAAUUCCCUGUGAACCGAACACAGCUUAAGGGAGUUUGCUCUUUAGGAAGGUUCUUGUUUGCUGUUGUUAUUAAAAGUAGGAAAUUUAUAUACAUAUAACAGUUGCUCAAGCUAAAGUCUUAUGUAACAUGUAACAUCUGAACUCUCUUUGUGCUAAUAUUUU